This 1605-nucleotide ribosomal RNA is filed under the name Salmonella enterica subsp. enterica serovar Newport. Its description in RNAcentral is "bacterial LSU rRNA". It matches the Rfam family "Bacterial large subunit ribosomal RNA", at positions 1225 to 2812 of the family's 2925-position model. Lineage: Bacteria; Pseudomonadati; Pseudomonadota; Gammaproteobacteria; Enterobacterales; Enterobacteriaceae. The record is from RNAcentral.
UGGGUAGGGGAGCGUUCUGUAAGCCUGUGAAGGUGGCCUGUGAGGGUUGCUGGAGGUAUCAGAAGUGCGAAUGCUGACAUAAGUAACGAUAAAGCGGGUGAAAAGCCCGCUCGCCGGAAGACCAAGGGUUCCUGUCCAACGUUAAUCGGGGCAGGGUGAGUCGACCCCUAAGGCGAGGCCGAAAGGCGUAGUCGAUGGGAAACAGGUUAAUAUUCCUGUACUUGGUGUUACUGCGAAGGGGGGACGGAGAAGGCUAUGUUGGCCGGGCGACGGUUGUCCCGGUUUAAGCGUGUAGGUGUGUGUUCCAGGUAAAUCCGGUUCACUUUAACACUGAGGCGUGACGACGAGGCACUACGGUGCUGAAGCAACAAAUGCCCUGCUUCCAGGAAAAGCCUCUAAGCAUCAGGUAACAUCAAAUCGUACCCCAAACCGACACAGGUGGUCAGGUAGAGAAUACCAAGGCGCUUGAGAGAACUCGGGUGAAGGAACUAGGCAAAAUGGUGCCGUAACUUCGGGAGAAGGCACGCUGACACGUAGGUGAAGUGAUUUACUCAUGGAGCUGAAGUCAGUCGAAGAUACCAGCUGGCUGCAACUGUUUAUUAAAAACACAGCACUGUGCAAACACGAAAGUGGACGUAUACGGUGUGACGCCUGCCCGGUGCCGGAAGGUUAAUUGAUGGGGUCAGCGCAAGCGAAGCUCCUGAUCGAAGCCCCGGUAAACGGCGGCCGUAACUAUAACGGUCCUAAGGUAGCGAAAUUCCUUGUCGGGUAAGUUCCGACCUGCACGAAUGGCGUAAUGAUGGCCAGGCUGUCUCCACCCGAGACUCAGUGAAAUUGAACUCGCUGUGAAGAUGCAGUGUACCCGCGGCAAGACGGAAAGACCCCGUGAACCUUUACUAUAGCUUGACACUGAACAUUGAGCCUUGAUGUGUAGGAUAGGUGGGAGGCUUUGAAGCGUGGACGCCAGUCUGCGUGGAGCCGACCUUGAAAUACCACCCUUUAAUGUUUGAUGUUCUAACGUGGACCCGUAAUCCGGGUUGCGGACAGUGUCUGGUGGGUAGUUUGACUGGGGCGGUCUCCUCCUAAAGAGUAACGGAGGAGCACGAAGGUUGGCUAAUCCUGGUCGGACAUCAGGAGGUUAGUGCAAUGGCAUAAGCCAGCUUGACUGCGAGCGUGACGGCGCGAGCAGGUGCGAAAGCAGGUCAUAGUGAUCCGGUGGUUCUGAAUGGAAGGGCCAUCGCUCAACGGAUAAAAGGUACUCCGGGGAUAACAGGCUGAUACCGCCCAAGAGUUCAUAUCGACGGCGGUGUUUGGCACCUCGAUGUCGGCUCAUCACAUCCUGGGGCUGAAGUAGGUCCCAAGGGUAUGGCUGUUCGCCAUUUAAAGUGGUACGCGAGCUGGGUUUAGAACGUCGUGAGACAGUUCGGUCCCUAUCUGCCGUGGGCGCUGGAGAACUGAGGGGGGCUGCUCCUAGUACGAGAGGACCGGAGUGGACGCAUCACUGGUGUUCGGGUUGUCAUGCCAAUGGCACUGCCCGGUAGCUAAAUGCGGAAGAGAUAAGUGCUGAAAGCAUCUAAGCACGAAACUUGCCCCGAGAUGAGUUCU